Passer domesticus (house sparrow) is the source of this 293-nucleotide long non-coding RNA. RefSeq lists it as uncharacterized. The transcript has 3 exons. Lineage: Eukaryota; Metazoa; Chordata; Aves; Passeriformes; Passeridae. The record is from RefSeq and is a predicted model, not a curated record.
GGGGAAUUAAAAGUGAGACUAAGAAUUUAGCCUGUCCAGAAAAGGCAUCAACUUCCAGCUGUUUUGAACCAUUAAUGAAUACACACCAUACUCAGAACUACACCUUUAGCAGAUCUAUCUAAAAUGAGGAUUCUCACAACCGAGUCAUUUUAGCGCAAGUGUGUGACUCCUGAAGGAACUGGAGCUUUAGAGAUGGUUGAGACCACAGAGAAAACCAAAGAAUCAGUGCAUGAAGGCACCACCAUCUUUAGCAAAGGCUGCCCUGGAAGGGCUGUUUCUGCCAUACCUGGGGG